GCACUGAUGAGGAGUUCAAUAAUAGGACGAAAUGGCCAUCUAGUGC
This 46-nucleotide non-coding RNA is filed under the name Schistosoma mansoni. The record is from RNAcentral. Lineage: Eukaryota; Metazoa; Platyhelminthes; Trematoda; Strigeidida; Schistosomatidae.